AAUGUAUGCACUGUAUAGAAAUCUUAUAAAAUGUUUCAUUGGAAACAUUUUUUAAGCAACAAAGGAAAUGAAACACAAAAAGCCACAUUAAAAGUACAUUGAUGAUUUUUACUUUAACGAGGAAACUGAGUGAAGUAGAUUAGGGGAGGGUAGAUGGGAGCCCUGAGAGAAAAUUAUGUUCCUCGGGACUCGUGGGGUUAGGGGCUGUCCCAGAUCCCAACAGGAAGCCCAGCCCAGCUCUCAGGGCACUCUCUGCUGGUCAGCCCCUUCCAGAGGUCAGAAAAGCUUCCCUGAGCAAGGCCAAAGCUCAGCCUCCAGGGACUGAGGCAGGUCCUGCAAUACAGGACCAUUUCUCUCUGCCAGAAGGAUGUCAUGACUCCCUGGACCAGACAACUGCUCCAAUCAUAACCUAGAAACUCCCUGGGAUCCACCGAAGGGUUAAUGGUGAGAGGCAGGGAGAAGUUAAUAGCAAAGAAUAAAGGGCACUGGCAACCCAUCAGAACCCACAGCAUCAAGGACAGUACAGGUGGGAAACAAGAUUCAGAGGGUAGAAAGUCAUUUCUUUGGCACUGACCAAAUGGCACGUGGUUUUGGCAAACGUGCCAGAGAAUGCAAAGGUGCAUGCAUUGCAGCGAGAGCAUCUGCGUGCGGUGGCUCAGUGGUCUGAGACAACCAGGCUUCCCAGCUUCCAGAGAGAUUUACGACCCGCAUUUUCGGAUUACAGCACCUUUCUGUGGGAACAGCCACACUGAGUCCUAAAGGCAAAGCUGAGGGGGCCCUGGAGCAAAGCAGGCAGGACCUUACCACACAAGGCAGGGCAAACUAAACAAGCAGCUGCCCCUGGGUGCGAACAAGAGAUGGAGGCAAGCCCCCUCCUGCCCACCCACCCCGUCAAAAUACCACUCACAAGUUACUAACACUAAAAUAUCCUAAAUGCUUUGAAUUAGUCUCAUCCUUGUUAAAAUGCUUUCUAAGACAUUUACAGCUUAUGCACUAAACAAAUCAUUUUUUUUAAAGCAGAUUCUGAUCAAUGAGAAAGGGGAACGAAGGGAGAGGAAAAUGUGUAUUUGAGGACCCACCACCUACCAGUUACUUUUCUUGUGUUUUUCAGCUUUACCUCAUAAAUGAAGAAUUAGGCUACAGGGAAGAGGUUGGAGAGAGAGGUGACAGAUAGCUACAUGGGAGCACUCCCUGUGGAACCUUGAAAAUCAGAAGGCUUGUGGGAGACGACCCUACAUGACACACAGGCUCCUCAAUCCAGAACCACAGGAGCUCUGGCGUGCAGUGAACCAGCAAGGAGACAUUUCACAGGAGUAACAGUCCUUCCCCAGCUGGGACUGGCCCAUGCCCUGACCUUCUGGUAGGCAAGAUAAACCUGGCUAGAAAGUAAAAUUCUAUCCUCAAGAAAAGAAACAGCAACACAUUCACAACUUUGCUUGAAGAGUGGAACUUCAGUCAAGAAGGAUCGCAUAUCUCAUCACUCUAUCUAUAGGAAGCUUAAGAAUAAAGCCUACAUAUG
Molecule: long non-coding RNA, 1519 nt
Organism: Acinonyx jubatus (cheetah)
Lineage: Eukaryota; Metazoa; Chordata; Mammalia; Carnivora; Felidae
Exons: 3
Source: RefSeq, a predicted model, not a curated record